CUGAGGUUUGUCAGUUCCUCUAGGAGACUCUGAACCUGAAGUUUCCCAAAACCUGAGCCUAGGAUCCAAACUAACUUGCUGGUGGGUUGUUGCCUCUGCCAUAAGCAGAUCAGAGCAUCUGAGGGAAGAGUCCUCUUCAGAUUUCAAUCUCCAAAGCUUGGGGCAGGGCUGGUCCCCCCUGUGCACCACCAUACUUCAGCAAGCUGUCCUUAUUGCACGUUCUCAGGGAGAGCAGGAAGCAUGGUACCUGGCUGUUCUUCUUCAACAGGACAGUGGUGCCAUCAUCGAUCUCAAAUUCUCCAUAGUCUCUCAAACACCGCACCUGUGAAGCAGAAAGGUAGCUGUGUCUGCAGCAUUACACCUCCCACAGAAAAUGUCAGACAUCACUGCAAGAGACGCAAGAGUUAUGGAGCAUAUGUCUGAAGUGCGGACAUAUUCCUACCCACCUCGCACAGCCCUGACUUGAAAAUACAAAACCAGGUGGACCCCAUAGUCUGAGGGCCUACCUGAUGUUCUCUUCAUGCCUCUGCCUGCAACAUGAAGCACAGUGGGCAGAGCAGGCACCCCAGAGACUAAGGAAAGAGUAGCACUGCACAACAGCAGCAUUUCUAGAGCCUCCUCACACAUGUAGCAGAAAAUGUCAGUCUGUUAGCAGUGAAACAGUUAUAAAGAGCAGGCUGGUUGCCUGUAUGUUUUCUUUUUAAGAGAACACAGCACUUCAGCUACUGACUCCGAAAUCAUUUUCCACUUGCUUUUGCUUUGUUGUAUCAAUGGCAUAAAAUGAUUUAUAGUCUGAUCUGUGAAAAUCUAUUAAACAAUGACAAGAAAGCACCAACACCUAGUUGACAAUGCUUAAGUGAGAACAAGGUUUCUAAUUGAUCUGAAGAGGUCUUUAGAAGAAUAAUUAAAUUGCUACGAACUACA
Molecule: long non-coding RNA, 924 nt
Organism: Tympanuchus pallidicinctus (lesser prairie-chicken)
Lineage: Eukaryota; Metazoa; Chordata; Aves; Galliformes; Phasianidae
Exons: 3
Source: RefSeq, a predicted model, not a curated record